This 383-nucleotide ribosomal RNA is filed under the name uncultured eukaryote. Its description in RNAcentral is "partial 18S ribosomal RNA". It matches the Rfam family "Eukaryotic small subunit ribosomal RNA", at positions 592 to 976 of the family's 1831-position model. The record is from RNAcentral.
CAAUAGCGUAUAUUAAAGUUGUUGCAGUUAAAAAGCUCGUAGUUGGAUUUCUGGUGGGAGCGAUCGGUCUGGCGCUUAGCGCGAGUACUUGCAUCGUCUCCGGCCAUCCUUGGGGAGAGUCUGUCUGGCAUUAGGUUGUCGGGCAGAGGAUCCUCAUCGUUUACUGUGAAAAAAUUAGAGUGUUCAAAGCAGGCUUAUGCCGUUGAAUAUAUUAGCAUAGAAUAAUAAGAUAGGACUUUGGUACUAUUUUGUUGGUUUGCACACCAAAGUAAUGAUUAAUAGGGACAGUUGGGGGUAUUCGUAUUCCGUUGUCAGAGGUGAAAUUCUUGGAUUUACGGAAGACGAACUACUGCGAAAGCAUUUACCAAGGAUGUUUUCAUUAA